AUAUAUAUAUACACGUGUAUAUUAUAUGUGUAUGUGUAUAUAUAUGUGUAUAUAUAUAUAUAUACGUGUAUAUAUAUAUAUAUGUAUAUGUGUAUAUAUAUGUAUAUGUGUGUAUAUAUAUAUAUACACGUGUAUAUUAUAUGUGUAUGUGUAUAUAUAUGUGUAUAUAUAUAUAUAUACGUGUGUAUAUAUAUAUAUAUAUAUAUAUAUAGACAUCUACACAUCUUAUAUAUAUGGACUUGUACAUGCAGUGGAGCGUUUGUGUGGAAAGAAUGUGGGAAAUUUCCAUUUCCAAUGGACAAGUUUCUUGAGAUUUCAACCUGUUUACACGGAUGGCGUCGGUCGUCAUGACGACGACAACAUUCCAACAGUUUCCUUGGACUUUUUGCGUCACAUUCCCGUGUGCUAGAGACAGCGCCCCCUGCUGGCUGAUUGGAGCUUUCUCCUUUGUGUCACGAAGGCCUGAAUGAGCUUUGCUUUUGCUUUUUCUAUUUAGCCGACAAAGAUUACAGGUUAAUCAUCUCUUCUUCAUCUUCUGUUUUUAUCUAUGACACGCGCAAGUUUUGUACCUGUCUUUUAUGGUCACAUGACUUAUGGAAACAAAACCAUUUCUUGUACUGCCAAUCAAAUAUAAAAAGUAAACCUUGUCAUUUUGUCUUUUCACGAGCAAUCUAAUGUGUUUCAAACACCUGUCAGGAGUCAUCGAUGACUGAUCGUUUCCUCGUAUCCCCUCCUGUCCAAUAAGCGAGGCGACGUCAGCAGUCACUCAACCUCGGCAGCUCCACCCACAUGUUUCUGGCCCCACCCCUCCCUCGAGCUCGAGCAUCCUUGCAAACGCACGUUUCGCCUGCAGGGGGCGAUCUAGGGCGCCCUUCCUUGAGCAGCGUGCGGCACAGUUGCAAGAAAAGGAUUCCAUUUUGAAUGUCGGGAGAGAGAGGCCGAGUGUUGAUUUGAGCCCUCGGCUUUCAAGGUAGCGUGCGGAGCCGGCAAAGGUCGCAGGCCGACGGAGGGCCGUGUUGGCGACCCGCAGGGAACGGACGGUGACCGUUGGGAUCGCACCCGCUGGCGGACUUGAACCAUUUUGAAUGACAUUGCCGGUAACUGCGGCAGCUGUUCGGGCGCCAGCAGCGGCUUCGCCCUGCGCCCGCACCUCCUCGGCUCUGACAGCAGAAGAUGAAGAAGAAGAAGAAGAAGAAGACGACAUUGAAGGAGCAGAAAGCGCAGAAGAAGAUUUAGAAGCAGACGAAGACAGUGCAGAAGAUGCAAGCAGGCGACCUCCUGGUGGUUCUUCUUGAGGAAGAUGAGCUCCUCCUUCAGGCCUUCAAUCUGCAUC
Phyllopteryx taeniolatus (common seadragon) is the source of this 1333-nucleotide long non-coding RNA. RefSeq lists it as uncharacterized. The transcript is spliced from 3 exons. The record is from RefSeq and is a predicted model, not a curated record. NCBI's taxonomy places the organism in Eukaryota, Metazoa, Chordata, Actinopteri, Syngnathiformes, Syngnathidae.